CGCACCUUGGCAAGCCCAGCCAGCUGUCAGGCCAUUACAACACCAACGCGGAUCUAAGAAAAGAAAGGAGAAAAAAGAAGAGGAGUAGAAGGCUGCAAAGCUCCUGAAAUUGUAAUUUAUUAUUUUUUUUAACAUAUAGUCGCCAGCUAAAGGACAAGCCCCUGGCGCUUCCCUUAGUUUGCCAACAAACAUGUAGCAGGUCUUAACCAGUCAGAGACAGAAGCAUUCAUAUAGAUGGAGGUGUCACCGGAUUUCCACCUAAACACACGCCAGGGCGGAGCU
This is an RNA transcript of Plectropomus leopardus (leopard coralgrouper), 282 nucleotides long. It is a transcript of the gene named putative C-type lectin domain family 20 member A, with no coding region annotated. The record is from RefSeq and is a predicted model, not a curated record. NCBI's taxonomy places the organism in Eukaryota, Metazoa, Chordata, Actinopteri, Perciformes, Serranidae.